UAAUUAUUAGACAUAAAUAACUAUUAUUAACUUAUCAAUAAUGUCAGGGAAUGUUAUAAAGGGAUAUAAGGAUACUGCUUGCUAAAUAAAGCAUUACUGGAACACCGCCAGCAUUAUUGGAACACCUACUGUCUACAGCAUUACCUGAAGUUCGGAACACCUUUCUUCCACCAUCACUGGAACAGCUCCAAUCAAGCUGUGGAAGUCGUGACGCAUCUACCCCUUUUGUGGAAACCCUAUAAUCAGUUUACUGCAUCCAUAGAGAUAAAGAAAAUAAUGCCAUCAAAGAAACUGCCUUCUGUUGAGCCAAAGUCUUGAGAAACCAAAACGGAAUGCAGCAUACAGGGUGAAGUAAACAUCAGAUCAGAGGGAGGCCAGACUGGAAAACGAAAAGAGAAGAAUUGCUGCGUCCUUUGCAGUGGAAGUACCAUGGUGAUGGUCAGAAUAACUUCGAGCCCCAUGAUCUUGUCCUUCUCAAGAACAUCCAAACAGUUUAGAAUUGCUGACACCUACUAGUUCUACAACUGCCUGCAGUUUCUUCUGAUCUACUGGCAAGAAAAUAUGCCACCAAAAACUUCAGGAGCCAAAAGAAUGCAGCAUACAGUGCGGCAAAAACAGCAUAUUGGGAGGUCAGAAUGGAAGCCAAGAUGACAAAAGUUGCUGCAUCCAGAGCAGUGGAAGUACUGAAACAGACGGAAGCCUGACUGGUAGAUCUGAGAACAAGAGUAGCUGCAUACAGAGCAGCAGAAGGACUAGAACAGAGGGAUGCCAGAGGACGAAAACAGCAUACAGGAUGGUGGAAACAUUAGAUUAAGAGGAGGCCAGACUGAAAGCCAAGAACACGAGAACUGCUGCAUCCAGAGCAGUGUAAGUACCAGCAUAGAGGGAGAACAGAUUGUUAGAUCUGAGGAUGACAGUAGCUGUAUCCAGAGUAGCAGAAGAACCAGAACAGGAGGAGACCAGUUUCUGACACAUGAUGGCGACAGUCACAGGAGUCAGAACUCCAAGGAGUUUCGAAAAAAAAACUGCUUUCAAUUACAAGCUGGAUGUCAGUUAACAUGAGCACCCUUGUGUGUCCAUUGGAAAGUUGGACAAUGUUGUCAACACUGCAAUGCAAUCAAGUGGAAAGUGGCUAUGGGACUCUUGCUGCAUAAUGGCUGCAUAAUGGUAAGGUGUCUUUGCCACCUUUGUGGUCAGUCUACCUGAUCCCCUGCAUUCUCAUGUGUCAGGAGAUAUGACCAAUUUACAACUAUUACUUCUAAAUGACGUCAUUUGAUGCAAAGGAAAUGUGCAAGAAAAGCUACAUGUUUACCUUCAAAGUUUCAAGGUCAGGUGUGCCGUGCAGUCUGAAGAUCCUUACUUCCUAUACCAGUCUACUUUAUGGGUGAUGCAACUGCAGAGGUUGAAAGAUCCUUACUUCCUAUACCAGUUUACUUCAAGGGUGAUGCAACUGCAGAGGUUGAAAAGGCUGAAAUGAGAUACCAGGCCAAAAGGAAGGCAUCGUUCUAGAUCUUCAGGAGUUCUUUCACAGGCACCAUUCCUAUGUUGCCAUCUGCAUAACAGCCUUGGACCUCAUGUCUACAGAGAACCGCAAGAUCAGAAUCAGGCCAGAUAAGAAGCCUGAGGGUGAGCACGAAAGAAGUAUAAAUUUCCCAACCUCCAGCGAGGUGGUUGUGAUGAUUGGCAGCAAGAUAUUAGAGCCCUGUGACAUCAUCCUUCACAAGAGAAACAAGACAGUGACUAACGCCCACAUGUCCUAUGACUCCCAGCAGUUACACAUCCUCUGAUCUUCUGAGAAGGCAAGGAUGGCUAUACUAAAACAUUCCUCAGAACAAUCUGGUAAAGGAAAGAAAGUGUAACGUUACAAAGACUACUUUACCUACGGUGUCAUAUUGUGAGCUGGGGCAGAGAAUUUUGAGGUGCCUGCAUGCUAUGACAUGUAUGUCAAAAUUGAGAAAAAGAGGGUUUGCUACAUUUAGAUCACCAGCAGGAAUUUUGAGCCAAUGACGACAUCGACCUCCAAGGUACCAUUGCCAGUGACAUCAAUCCAAGGGAGAGAAGUUACAGGAUGGCGAUGACUGAAAAGACUAGCCAAUUGAGUUGAGAUAAUCCGACCCUGACCAUCAACUUCUGCAAUGUCAUCUACAGGAAGAGUUUGCAGGAGUAAGAGAGUGUUUGGCAAUAAUGGGGGGGGAAAAACCCCUGAAGACUUACUACAGCCGUCCUUCCCCUCCAGAUGAUCCGAAUACCAACCUGCAAUGUCAAGAGGUUCUUCGAAAGACAAGCUUCAGGCACCUCACAAACUCGCCCAGUUUCUUGUGAAAAAGGAACCCAUACUGAUGUUAGACCACCAAAGAACCUAGUACGGGGGAAGCUGAUUCACAAUGAUGGCCAAAUGGGCAGCCUAAUCUUCUGUGCUGGCUGAAGUGGAAAAAGUUUCUUGUUACUCUCAUUCUGGCCACAAAGCUUGCAAGAAGGAAAGAAAAGAAAAGCAGUAGUUAACAGGCGAUUCACUGGCUGGACUGUUUUCCAAGUAGUUUUCCCACCAUGGGAAAUGAUGAGAAGGUCCUGUUGAUGCCCAGAUAAGACAUCGCAUUCCCAGGAAACUUAUGCACCUUGGUCAGCACCCAAGAAAACAUUGGUGACUGCAGUGUUUCCUGACAUCCAUCUCAAAGUACAACUGGCUUUAGGAAAGUGAUUCUGACCUAAAAAAUGUGUGAAGACAUCAACUUGCAGAUCCAGGGAAUGUUGCUUCCCAAUGAAGUAGUCAAAUACCCAACGGAAUUAGCCUGAACUUCUUGGAGCUGUCUGGGUAUCUGCCUCAUGUCCUCUUCCUGAAAGUCAGUACACCAAUCAAUCCUCCUGCUGCUUAAUUAACCUGCACAGUCCCCAGUUGUGAAAUGGGACAUGUCUGAUCAUCAAGAUUUCCCAACAUGGUUGAGCGACCAUUCUAGCUGGAUGUGGAAGAGAAGAUAUCUUGUAUUCAUCUCGCAAAUUUCCUGAUGAUGGUGGACAAUUAGCCAUUCGGAUGUGGAAGAGAAGACGUAUUCAUUCCACGAAUUCCGUCCUGAUGAUCGUGGAUAAUCUCCUGUUCACCUAGGAUUCCUGUCAGGCUUUGCUCUCCACCAUGGUAAUCGCUGUAGGUGGUAGACAUUAUAAACAUCCAUUUGCAAGAGUUAUGCUUCUCACACAUGGUCAGAAAUAAAAAAAAUCUCUAUCUGCCAUAAAACUGAAAUAAUCUAAGUUGCUUUUGAUAAGUAUGAUCUUAUUCAACUGCAACAUUUUAUCCUCAAGAUUAUCCCCGAUGUCAAGCCCACUUUCUGCUAGUUUGGGACAGUGUUUUACACGACUUUUCAAGAAUAAAGAAAGAGUAAGUGCACUAUUAUUGAAAGUGUAUUUCUUUAAUGUAUUGUUUUAAAUAAAUGUUAAUCAAAACCUAU
Long non-coding RNA from Macrobrachium nipponense, 3440 nucleotides. RefSeq lists it as uncharacterized. NCBI's taxonomy places the organism in Eukaryota, Metazoa, Arthropoda, Malacostraca, Decapoda, Palaemonidae. The record is from RefSeq and is a predicted model, not a curated record. The transcript is spliced from 3 exons.